UCAAAGGGACUCGGAUACAUAUGUAUACCCCUACUCCACGUGCCUUGUAUACUAUGAUGCAUGUUCGUGAGGUAUUAUUUUUUGAUAUCGGCACAGAUGUAUUUGUUAUAAAUUGACUUAUUGGCCGCGCUUGCAUGCGAUGAGGCUCUUUGCAUGGGCCAACGCGCGGACCGGAAGCCACAACACCGACAACUUGAUCUUCAAACCUCAGCCGGCCGUUCUCCGCGAACAAACAUUUACCGCUGCAGAGGAUUGAUGAUUUGAGUUUCUUGAAUAGGGGCCGCGCUGAUUCCGUCGACACUCUCUUCUUCCCUGCCUAUCCUAACGUAACUUUACCCAUAUAUGUGCGGUAUUUUUGUUAGCAUUUGUCUGACAGUGUAACACCCCCCCCCCCCUCCAUUCGUUAUUUGUACGGUCA
RNAcentral lists this small RNA (418 nucleotides) under Histoplasma capsulatum. Its description in RNAcentral is "hypothetical RNA". The record is from RNAcentral. Lineage: Eukaryota; Fungi; Ascomycota; Eurotiomycetes; Onygenales; Ajellomycetaceae.